RNAcentral lists this long non-coding RNA (1244 nucleotides) under Numida meleagris (helmeted guineafowl). RNAcentral's name for it is "lncRNA (ENSNMEG00000019145.1)". The record is from RNAcentral. Lineage: Eukaryota; Metazoa; Chordata; Aves; Galliformes; Numididae.
CAGGAACAGACAGAUGAGCCUUGGCUUUCACAGCAUGCAUAUGAUUUAUCAGGCAUUGCAUUCUUUCCCCGAGGGAAGGGAAGUUCUCUGUGGAGCCACUUGGAAGGUGAGAUCAAUGCCCAAAUGCAAGGAGAUGCCACUGGCAGAGCCCAUGGGAGAUCAAACUGGAGAACGAACCAGCCAAAGGAGGUUACAGCAGAAGCUAAAGUUGGAGUUCUUCAAAGAUGGAGCACAAGCCCUAUGAACAGAAAGUGGGCAUGUUCAACUUGGGGAAGGGAUUGCUUUGGAGGUACCUAACAGCUGCUCCCAGUACCUACAAGGAGGAUGUAAAGAAGAUGGAGUCAGUUGCGUGGUGGAAAGGUGAGAGACAAUGAGCAUAAAUUGAAAUGAGUUGUUCAGAUUGAAUCUAAGCAUAAGUUGUAUUCCCAUGAGGACAAACAGACACUGGCACAAGCCAACCGGAGAGGUUUUUCAGUCUUGAUCCCUGGAAUUCUCUGGAUCAAGUCUUGACAAAUCUCAUCUGACCUCAGAGUUAGCCCUGCUUUUUGAGCAGAAAGUUGGACUGGAGACACUCCUGAUGUCCCUUCCAAGCUGAAUUAUCCUGUGAUCGUUGCAUUACUAUCUCUAGAUCUGUUCAGAAGAAGAUCAUACUGUUAUGAAAUUCCAAAACUUGGUUCCCUGCUUUUGUGUUACUUGUCUUUGUGGCUGAAAGAGGAGUCUUAACCAUUGUAAUCUGUGCAGUAAUGUCAUGUGAAAUUUAUGGAGGGAAUCCAAUGGAAGGAAGACUUGCACUUGUUAAAUCCAAGGGAGUUUAUUAUUGUUACUGCCUUUACUCCCAGGCAGGCUAGAACUAAAUGGGUAUUCUCCCUCUCUGUCAUUUUGAUUUCAUAUGUGAGAGUGUGCUGAGGGGAGGAGGGCCAUAACUCUCACUCUCAAAUUGACCUGUUGCUAAUGCAAGGUGUGAUUUUUUUUUCACUUGAAGAUGAAAUUCCAUAGAAUCAGAAGAAAGCUGCCAAAAAUGCAUUGGAUUCAUGCAUGAUAUGAAUGAUUAAAGAUAAUCCAAAAUUUGAACUCUCUGCUUUUCUUACUUCUGCCAUUAGUAGGUGGUCCAUUUUGGAAAUGGUGACACAAGGGUGGGUCACCUCCACUGGCGCCGAUUGUUAUGAGCACGGCAUGCAGACUCUAAUUCAUCGUUGAUGGGAAUGCAUAGUUAAUAGUGGUGACUAUGUUGAAAAACAGUGUUU